RNAcentral lists this ribosomal RNA (966 nucleotides) under human gut metagenome. RNAcentral's name for it is "bacterial LSU rRNA". It matches the Rfam family "Bacterial large subunit ribosomal RNA", at positions 1961 to 2925 of the family's 2925-position model. The record is from RNAcentral.
GAAAUUCCUUGUCAGGUAAGUUCUGACCCGCACGAAAGGCGUAACGAUUUGGGCGCUGUCUCAGCUGUAGACUCGGUGAAGUCUUAGUACCUGUGAAGAUGCAGGUUACCCGCGACUAGACGGAAAGACCCCAUGGAGCUUCACUGCAGGUUGAUAUUGGGAUUUGAUGCAGCAUGUACAGGAUAGGUAGGAGGCAAAGAGAUGGAUACGCCAGUAUUCAAGGAGCCGCUGUUGGGAUACUACCCCUGUUGUAUUGGAUUUCUAACCGGACGACGUAGAGCCGUUGACGGGACAGUGUCAGUCGGGCAGUUUGACUGGGGCGGUCGCCUCCCAAAGAGUAACGGAGGCGCCCAAAGAUACCCUCAGCUUGGAUGGAAACCAAGCGCAGAGUGCAAAGGCAAAAGGGUGUUUGACUGCGAGACCCACAAGUCGAGCAGGGACGAAAGUCGGGCUUAGUGAUCCGGCGGUGCUGAAUGGAAAGGCCGUCGCUCAACGGAUAAAAGCUACCCUGGGGAUAACAGGCUGAUCUCCCCCAAGAGUCCACAUCGACGGGGAGGUUUGGCACCUCGAUGUCGGCUCAUCGCAUCCUGGGGCUGUAGUAGGUCCCAAGGGUUGGGCUGUUCGCCCAUUAAAGCGGUACGCGAGCUGGGUUCAGAACGUCGUGAGACAGUUCGGUCCCUAUCUGUCGUGGGCGCAGGAAAUUUGAGAAGAGCUGUCCUCAGUACGAGAGGACCGGGAUGGACGCAUCAAUGGUGGACCAGUUGUCACGCCAGUGGCAUAGCUGGGUAGCUAAAUGCGGAAGGGAUAAACGCUGAAGGCAUCUAAGUGUGAAACCCACUUCAAGAUGAGAUUUCCCAUUGCGCAAGCAAGUAAGACCCCUUAAAGACGAUAAGGUAGAUAGGUCAGGAGUGUAAGCAUGGUGACAUGUUAAGCGGACUGAUACUAAUAGGUCGAGGGCUUGACCGA